RNAcentral lists this long non-coding RNA (1114 nucleotides) under Rattus norvegicus (Norway rat). RNAcentral's name for it is "long non-coding RNA NONRATT016996". The record is from RNAcentral. Lineage: Eukaryota; Metazoa; Chordata; Mammalia; Rodentia; Muridae.
GUACCUUAAUUAAUGGGAAAGGAACUUGUUCUAUACAGAGAAGGAAUCUGGGUAUUCUUUUCCUUAAGAUCCUUCUAAGGAACCAUGUUCAGUGAUAGCUGUAUUUCAGGUAUUAUGAGUUACUGAAGGGAGAAUAUAAUGGUAUAGCACACACUUAUGUCCUGAAAGACCAACAGAGUACAUGAGGAGUAUACUUGAGAAGGCAUACUGGAGCCUGUUGGGAGAUUUGGUGAUAAGUGCUGUCUGACGAGAGAAGAUGGCUGCUGUAGGACAAGGACCAGAGCAGGAAGGAGACAAGUAGAGAGUGUGUACUGUGGGAAGGGUCUGUAAAGAACUUUGGAACUGAGUGGUGUGGGACCUAUCCAUUAUGGUGGGAGCGUUUUCAGAUAUCACCGACUAGCCCAGAGUAUGCAAUAGCAGAAAAAGAUGGAAACUUGGCUUAGUCUGAGAUGGGCAUUUCCUCGGCAUGUAUGCAUUGAAGGAAACGGGUGAUAGCAAAUGAUUGGCUGUGGUCCUUUGUUGGAUUCUGACAUGUUGACAGAAUUCAGGAACUUGUAAUCAAGUGAAAAGGACCCAGCAACAGUGAACUCAACCACCAAACACAAGAAACUAGUCAGCAUCCUUAAUACUUUUCUUAGCACUUUUCUACUGGAGAUAAGUUCUAGGUGAACUACCAAGAAAAAUGGGGAGCUUAAAAAAAUUAUUUUAUUACAAAUAUGCCAUUUGUCAUAAGGGUGAGAUUACAUUGAAUGACUUGUUAGUCACACUUUAUUAAAUUAUGUUUGUUAGAGACAAAAAGAAAGAAGAUAAAGAAAAAAAACGUUCCAAAACUCCACCAAAAAGCUACAGCACAGCCAGACGCUCUCGGAGUGCAAGCAGAGAGAGAAGACGACGGCGAAGUAGGAGUGGUACAAGGUCCCCUAAAAAGCCCAGAUCUCCUAAAAGAAAGCUGUCCCGCUCACCAUCCCCAAGGAGACAUAAAAAAGAGAAGAAGAAAGAUAAGGACAAAGAAAGAAGCAGAGAUGAAAGGGAGCGAUCAACAAGUAAGAAGAAGAGGAGCAAAGACAAGGAGAAGGAACGAGAAAGGAAGUCUGAGAGUGACAAGGAUGUCAAA